AUGCUCGCUUCAGGAGCACACAUAUCAAAUUUGGAAUGAUACGGAGAUUAGCAUGGCCCCUGAGCAAAGAUGCAUGCAAAACUCAUGAAGCAUCCCAUAUUUUC
This is a small nuclear RNA of Manis pentadactyla (Chinese pangolin), 104 nucleotides long. Lineage: Eukaryota; Metazoa; Chordata; Mammalia; Pholidota; Manidae. The record is from RefSeq and is a predicted model, not a curated record.